RNAcentral lists this ribosomal RNA (478 nucleotides) under uncultured soil bacterium. RNAcentral's name for it is "bacterial SSU rRNA". It matches the Rfam family "Bacterial small subunit ribosomal RNA", at positions 26 to 518 of the family's 1533-position model. The record is from RNAcentral.
AGGAUGAACGCUGGCGGCGUGCCUAACACAUGCAAGUCGAACGUUAGGAAAUAGCAAUAUUUCUGAAAGUGGCGAUCGGGUGAGUAACACGUAGGUAACCUGCCGCGCAGAGGGGGAUAACGACUGGAAACGGUCGCUAACACCGCAUGGUACUAGGAAAAGGGGACUUUUUCUGGUUAAAACCUUGGUGCUGCGCGAGGGGCCUGCGUCCGAUUAGUUAGUUGGUGAGGUAGUGGCUCACCAAGACGAUGAUCGGUAGCUGGUCUGAGAGGAUGAUCAGUCACACGGGAACUGAGACACGGUCCCGACUCCUACGGGGGGCAGCAGUGAGGAAUAUUGCACAAUGGACGCAAGUCUGAUGCAGCAACGCCGCGUGGAGGAUGAAGGCCGUUGGGUCGUAAACUCCUUUUUUACGAGGAAGAGAGAGGACGGUACCAGAAGAAUAAGUCGACGGCUAAACUACGUGCCAGCGAGCCGC